GAUUAACGCUAGCGGCAGGCAUAAUACAUGCAAGUUGAACGAGAUUAGUUUUAGCAAUAGAACUAGUUUAGUGGCGCACGGGUGCGUAACGCGUAUGCAACCUACCUUAAACAGGGGAAUAGCCUCUCGAAAGAGAGAUUAAUACCGCAUAAUAUAUAUUUAAUGCAUAUUAGAUAUAUUAAACCUACGGGGGUUUAAGAUGGGCAUGCGUGACAUUAGCUAGUUGGUGAGGUAACGGCUCACCAAGGCAACGAUGUCUAGGGGGUCAGAGAGGAUGUCCCCCCACACUGGUACUGAGACACGGACCAGACUCCUACGGGAGGCAGCAGUAGGGAAUAUUGGUCAAUGGGGGCAACCCUGAACCAGCCAUGCCGCGUGCAGGAAUAAGGCCCUAUGGGUCGUAAACUGCUUUUGAACGGGAGAAAUCUAUUUACGUGUAAAUAGUUGACGGUACCGUUAGAAUAAGGAUCGGCUAACUUCGUGCCAGCAGCCGCGGUAAU
RNAcentral lists this ribosomal RNA (500 nucleotides) under uncultured bacterium. RNAcentral describes it as "bacterial SSU rRNA". It matches the Rfam family "Bacterial small subunit ribosomal RNA", at positions 28 to 524 of the family's 1533-position model. The record is from RNAcentral.